UACGUAGGGUGCGAGCGUUAAUCGGAAUUACUGGGCGUAAAGCGUGCGCAGGCGGUCUGUUAAGACCGAUGUGAAAUCCCCGGGCUUAACCUGGGAAUGGCAUUGGUGACUGCACGGCUAGAGUGUGUCAGAGGGGGUAGAAUUCCACGUGUAGCAGUGAAAUGCGUAGAGAUGUGGAGGAAUACCGAUGGCGAAGGCAGCCCCCUGGGAUAACACUGACGCUCAUGCACGAAAGCGUGGGAGCAAACAGG
RNAcentral lists this ribosomal RNA (251 nucleotides) under uncultured bacterium. Its description in RNAcentral is "partial 16S ribosomal RNA". It matches the Rfam family "Bacterial small subunit ribosomal RNA", at positions 524 to 776 of the family's 1533-position model. The record is from RNAcentral.